This 492-nucleotide ribosomal RNA is filed under the name uncultured bacterium. RNAcentral's name for it is "partial 16S ribosomal RNA". It matches the Rfam family "Bacterial small subunit ribosomal RNA", at positions 29 to 507 of the family's 1533-position model. The record is from RNAcentral.
AGUGAACGCUGGCGGUAGGCCUAACACAUGCAAGUCGAACGGCAGCACAGUAGGUGCUUGCUCUUACGGGUGGCGCGUGUCGGACGGGUGAGGUAGACAUCGGAAUCUACAUUUUCGUGGGUGCUAACGCAGGGAAAGUUACGCUAAUACCGCAUACGUCCUAAGGAUGAAAGCAGGCGAUCUUCGGACCUUUCGCGAUGGUAUGAGCCGAUGUCGGCUUAGAUAGUUGGCGGGGUAAAGACCCACCCAGGCGACGAUCCGUAGCUGGCCUGAGGGGGUGAACAGCCACACUGGAAGUGAGAAAGGGCCGAGACACCGACGGGAGGCCGCAGUGGGGACUAUUAGACGAGGGGGGCAUGCCUGAUCCAGCGAUACCGCGUGAGUGAAGAAGGCCUUCGGGUUGUAGAACCCUUUUGUUGGGAGAGAAGAGAAGUACUUUAAUCCCCCGCUGUUCUGACGGUACCCAAAGAAUAAGCACCGGCUAACUUCGUG